Molecule: transfer RNA, 72 nt
Filed under: Rickettsiaceae bacterium
Lineage: Bacteria; Pseudomonadati; Pseudomonadota; Alphaproteobacteria; Rickettsiales; Rickettsiaceae
Description: tRNA-Gln
Rfam family: tRNA
About the family: Transfer RNA (tRNA) molecules are approximately 80 nucleotides in length. Their secondary structure includes four short double-helical elements and three loops (D, anti-codon, and T loops).
Source: RNAcentral
UGGGGCGUCGCCAAGCGGUAAGGCAACGGUUUUUGGUAUCGUCAUGCGUUGGUUCGAAUCCAGCCGCCCCAG